AUGUUCUCCUUGCAGUCGCUUAGCCGCAUCAACAACAUCCGCACGGCUCUGCUUCAUGCGCAGAAGGGAACCCAGCCGGUCGCCACCUUCUUCGCCCACAUGCGCGGCCUCACCGAUGAGCUCGUCGCGGUCGGCAAAUCUCUCCAAGACGACGAGAUCGUCUCCUACAUCAUCCACGUGCUGGACAUGGAGUACCAGCCCCUGGUGUCGGCCCUUGACGCUCGCACCUCUCCCGUCACCCUGGAUGAGUUGUUCACCAUGCUCAGCAACUUCGAUCAGCGCAUGGCACUCUACCAGGGGUCGGGUGGU
This 309-nucleotide ribosomal RNA is filed under the name Triticum aestivum (bread wheat). RNAcentral's name for it is "partial small subunit ribosomal RNA". The record is from RNAcentral. Lineage: Eukaryota; Viridiplantae; Streptophyta; Magnoliopsida; Poales; Poaceae.